This 205-nucleotide long non-coding RNA is filed under the name Malus domestica (apple). RNAcentral's name for it is "long non-coding RNA (MDOM_LNC018840)". The record is from RNAcentral. Lineage: Eukaryota; Viridiplantae; Streptophyta; Magnoliopsida; Rosales; Rosaceae.
UCUCAAACUUCACGCACCAAGUUGAAAACUUUCAGAAACCCAUUAGAAAGAAGUUAAAGGUUCAAUAAAUGAACAACCAUGAUGGAAAGAAUUAAAGCUAAAUACGAAUUGGGAGAAUUUAAUCAGUGAAACAACAAUCAAAUAAAUUAGAAAAAAAAAAAAAGGGUGGAGCACAAUAAUUACCGCAGAAUCGGCGAUAAAUCUC